GGCUCUAUAGCUCAGUGGUAGAGCAUGCGAUUGCAGCAAUUGCUUACGUAAGAUAUCGCAGGGUCCCGUGUUCGAACCACGGUGGGGCCU
This is a transfer RNA of 90 nucleotides. It matches the Rfam family "tRNA". Rfam says of the family: Transfer RNA (tRNA) molecules are approximately 80 nucleotides in length. The record is from Rfam.